Molecule: long non-coding RNA, 433 nt
Organism: Larimichthys crocea (large yellow croaker)
Lineage: Eukaryota; Metazoa; Chordata; Actinopteri; Sciaenidae
Exons: 2
Source: RefSeq, a predicted model, not a curated record
CAAGACCAGAAAAGCCCACGACCUCCGCCUUCAUUCAUAAAAAUAGGAAACCGAACUCAAAAUCACCAUUUUGAGUGUCACGAGGAGGACUCCGAGCGAGGUCACGAGCUGAAUGAACGUGAAAAACAAGAACAAGACCCCACAAUAGGCCAAUUGUAAAUAAUGAGGCGUGAGAAAGUCCGACUUGAAAACCAAGGGGAAAAGGGAGUGGACAACAAUAGACUUCCUGUCAAACCAGCUGACAUCAUGUCAUUUGGGAAAAUGUGAUUGGUGAAGCCGUAGAUCUGCCCACGUCAUGUCAACUCUGACCAAAAAGUCUUUGACUGCAUCAAACAUUGAAGAGACCAAGGUCUGGUUUGAAAAAGCUGGACACAAAAGAGAUAAAGUUAUUUAUAGUUUUUUACAUCAAGGACAACAACAAAUAAAACGUUUU